RNAcentral lists this non-coding RNA (21 nucleotides) under Caenorhabditis elegans. Lineage: Eukaryota; Metazoa; Nematoda; Chromadorea; Rhabditida; Rhabditidae. The record is from RNAcentral.
UAUCAAACAGAUGGCCCAAAA